ACUCACUCCAUCCUGCCACCCUGCGAGGAAGGUGCCUGCUUCUUCUUUGCCUUCCGCCGUGAGUGUGAGUCUCCUGAGGCCUCCCCAGCAAUGUGGAACUGAUACGUCAUGGAACAGAGGGCAACCUGCCUCCUGGAAAUGUGGAGUGUCUAGGGAGUCACAGCUGAGAUCUUCCUUGGAUUAAAGGCUGCGGGUGUCACAAACAGGAUGCUGUAACAACACCAUAAACUUUCAAACAACUCUAUUUCCUACGGUUCUGGAGGCUGGAAGUCCACAAUCAAAGUGUCAUGUUGUCAGGUUGUGGUGAGGGCCCUCUUUUGGGUGUAGAUUGCUAACUUUUCUGUAUGUGUUCACAUGGCAGAAAGAGAUUGAGCUAGCUCUUGGAUCCUUUCUUAUAAGGGCACCAAUCCCAAUACAGAGGCUUCACUCUCAUGACAUAAUUGUCUCCCAAAGACUCUACCUCCAAAUAUUAUCAAUCACAUUAGGGGAUAGAUUUUAACACAUGAUUUUGGGGGGAACACAUUCAGUCCAUAACAUUUCUUGAGUCUUCUUCUAGGACCCAUAGGUUAUUUUAAAAGUGGCUUGUUCAGUUCCAAGUGUUUGAAGAUUUUUUUUUUCUGUUAUCUUUAACUUACUGAUUUCUAGAUAGACCCCAUUGUGCUCAGAGAACACUCCUUAUGUGAUUUCAAUUAUUUUAAAUUUGUUGAGAUUUUAUGACUUAGUAUGUCAUCUGUCUUGGUGUGUAUUCUGUGGGGGGGAUGGGGGGUGCUUGAAAAACGGGUAUUCUGCUAUUAUAGAAUGUCAAAAUAUCAACUGUAAUAAACAAGAAAAAUAAUCCUAGUCUUUUAUUUAAGGGCCCUCUUUAGUCCAUCUCAACAGACCCUUCUCCGAAGGGGAAAGAAAUGCAGCUCACAAGAGCCCAUUAAACAACUAAAACAAGACAAAAUAAAACAACUACCCCCUGCCAAUUUGCACACUGUUACUUCUUUUGUUUUCCCAAUCUUAUUUCUUCUUCUUUUUUAUAAUAAAAAAUUUCAAAGCAAU
This 1044-nucleotide long non-coding RNA is filed under the name Homo sapiens (human). RNAcentral describes it as "uncharacterized LOC105373438, transcript variant 2 (LOC105373438)". Lineage: Eukaryota; Metazoa; Chordata; Mammalia; Primates; Hominidae. The record is from RNAcentral.